This is a non-coding RNA of Podarcis lilfordi (Lilford's wall lizard), 77 nucleotides long. NCBI's taxonomy places the organism in Eukaryota, Metazoa, Chordata, Lepidosauria, Squamata, Lacertidae. The record is from the annotation of a GenBank genome assembly.
CCUGCCAUAGUUCAGUGGUAGAGCACCUGCGUUGCGUACUGAGGAUCCCCGGUUCAACCCCAGGCAUCCAGGUAGGA